GACGAACGCUGGCGGCGUGCUUAGCACAUGCAAGUCGAACGGAAAGGCCCUGCUUGCAGGGUACUCGAGUGGCGAACGGGUGAGUAACACGUGGGUGAUCUGCCCUGCACUUCGGGUUAAGCCUGGGAAACUGGGUCUAAUACCGGAUAGGAGCCAUUUUGAGUGGGAUGGUUGGAAAGUUUUUUCGGUGUAGGAUGAGCUCGCGGCCUAUCAGCUUGUUGGUGGGGUAAUGGGCUACGAAGGCGGCGACGGGUAGUCGGCCUGAGAGGGUGGACGGCCACAUUGGGCCUGAGAUACGGCCCAGACUCCUACGGGAGGCAGCAGUGGGGAAUAUUGCACAAUGGGCGCAAGCCUGAUGCAGCGACGCCGCGUGGGGGAUGACGGCCUUCGGGUUGUAAACUCCUUUCGCUAGGGACGAAGCUUUUGUGACGGUACCUAGAUAAGAAGCACCGGCUAACUACGUG
Molecule: ribosomal RNA, 464 nt
Filed under: uncultured bacterium
Lineage: Bacteria
Description: partial 16S ribosomal RNA
Rfam family: Bacterial small subunit ribosomal RNA
Source: RNAcentral